Molecule: transfer RNA, 68 nt
Filed under: Marmota monax (woodchuck)
Lineage: Eukaryota; Metazoa; Chordata; Mammalia; Rodentia; Sciuridae
Description: tRNA.Val
Source: RNAcentral
GUUAUGGCUCAGUGGUAGAGCUCUUACCUCACACGUGCAAAGCUCUGGGUUCGAUCCUCAGUACAACA